CUACCAUGCAGUCGACGGUGACGAGGAGCUUGCUCCUCUGAUCAGUGGCGAACGGGUGAGUAACACGUGAGUAACCUGCCCCAGACUCUGGAAUAACAGUUGGAAACAGCUGCUAAUACCGGAUACGAGACGGAGCCGCAUGGCUACUGUCUGGAAAGUUUUUCGGUCUGGGAUGGACUCGCGGCCUAUCAGCUUGUUGGUGAGGUAACGGCUCACCAAGGCGACGACGGGUAGUCGGCCUGAGAGGGCGACCGGCCACACUGGGACUGAGACACGGCCCAGACUCCUACGGGAGGCAGCAGUGGGGAAUAUUGCACAAUGGGCGAAAGCCUGAUGCAGCGACGCCGCGUGCGGGAUGAAGGCCUUCGGGUUGUAAACCGCUUUCAGCAGGGAAGAAGCGAAAGUGACGGUACCUGCAGAAGAAGCACCGGCUAACUACGUGCCAGCAGCCGCGGUAAUACGUAAGGUGCGAGCGUUGUCCGGAAUUAUUGGGCGUAAAGAGCUUGUAGGCGGUUUGUCGCGUCUGCUGUGAAAUCCGGGGCUCAACCCCGGACCUGCAGUGGGUACGGGCAAAACUA
This 578-nucleotide ribosomal RNA is filed under the name uncultured bacterium. Its description in RNAcentral is "bacterial SSU rRNA". It matches the Rfam family "Bacterial small subunit ribosomal RNA", at positions 49 to 643 of the family's 1533-position model. The record is from RNAcentral.